AUUGAACGCUGGCGGCAGGCCUAACACAUGCAAGUCGAGCGGACGAAGGGAGCUUGCUCCUGGAUUCAGUGGCGGACGGGUGAGUAAUGCCGAGGAAUCUGCCUGGGAGUGGGGGAUAACGUCCGGAAACGGGCGCUAAUACCGCAUACGCCCUGAGGGGGAAAGGGGGGAAUCUCGGGUCCCAUGGGAUUCAAUGGGCCUAGGUCGGAUUAGCUAGUUGGUGGGGUAAAGGCCUACCAAGGCGACGAUCCGUAACUGGUCUGAGAGGAUGAUCAGUCACACUGGAACUGAGACACGGUCCAGACUCCUACGGGAGGCAGCAGUGGGGAAUAUUGGACAAUGGGCGAAAGCCUGAUCCAGCCAUGCCGCGUGUGUGAAGAAGGUCUUCGGAUUGUAAAGCACUUUAAGUUGGGAGGAAGGGCAGUAAGUUAAUACCUUGCUGUUUUGACGUUACCAACAGAAUAAGCACCGGCUAACUUCGUG
Molecule: ribosomal RNA, 483 nt
Filed under: uncultured bacterium
Lineage: Bacteria
Description: partial 16S ribosomal RNA
Rfam family: Bacterial small subunit ribosomal RNA
Source: RNAcentral